GGUAGAGUGGACUAAACGAGGUCGCCAGGCUCAUCAUCUGGAGGUGCAGGGUCGAUUCCUGCCUCUACCA
RNAcentral lists this transfer RNA (70 nucleotides) under Protanthea simplex. RNAcentral's name for it is "tRNA-Met". It matches the Rfam family "tRNA". From Rfam's summary of the family: Transfer RNA (tRNA) molecules are approximately 80 nucleotides in length. Their secondary structure includes four short double-helical elements and three loops (D, anti-codon, and T loops). Further hydrogen bonds mediate the characteristic L-shaped molecular structure. tRNAs have two regions of fundamental functional importance: the anti-codon, which is responsible for specific mRNA codon recognition, and the 3' end, to which the tRNAs corresponding amino acid is attached (by aminoacyl-tRNA synthetases). tRNAs cope with the degeneracy of the genetic code in two manners: having more than one tRNA (with a specific anti-codon) for a particular amino acid; and 'wobble' base-pairing, i.e. permitting non-standard base-pairing at the 3rd anti-codon position. Lineage: Eukaryota; Metazoa; Cnidaria; Anthozoa; Actiniaria; Gonactiniidae. The record is from RNAcentral.